Molecule: ribosomal RNA, 745 nt
Filed under: uncultured Parvimonas sp.
Lineage: Bacteria; Bacillati; Bacillota; Tissierellia; Tissierellales; Peptoniphilaceae
Description: bacterial SSU rRNA
Rfam family: Bacterial small subunit ribosomal RNA
Source: RNAcentral
GACGAACGCUGGCGGCGUGCUUAACACAUGCAAGUCGAACGUGAUUUUUGUGGAAAUUCUUUCGGGAAUGGAAAUGAAAUGAAAGUGGCGAACGGGUGAGUAACACGUGAGCAACCUACCUUACACAGGGGGAUAGCCGUUGGAAACGACGAUUAAUACCGCAUGAGACCACAGAAUCGCAUGAUAUAGGGGUCAAAGAUUUAUCGGUGUAAGAAGGGCUCGCGUCUGAUUAGCUAGUUGGAAGGGUAAAGGCCUACCAAGGCGACGAUCAGUAGCCGGUCUGAGAGGAUGAACGGCCACAUUGGAACUGAGACACGGUCCAAACUCCUACGGGAGGCAGCAGUGGGGAAUAUUGCACAAUGGGGGGAACCCUGAUGCAGCGACGCCGCGUGAGCGAAGAAGGUUUUCGAAUCGUAAAGCUCUGUCCUAUGAGAAGAUAAUGACGGUAUCAUAGGAGGAAGCCCCGGCUAAAUACGUGCCAGCAGCCGCGGUAAUACGUAUGGGGCGAGCGUUGUCCGGAAUUAUUGGGCGUAAAGGGUACGUAGGCGGUUUUUAAGUCAGGUGUGAAAGCGUGAGGCUUAACCUCAUUAAGCACUUGAAACUGGAAGACUUGAGUGAAGGAGAGGAAAGUGGAAUUCCUAGUGUAGCGGUGAAAUGCGUAGAUAUUAGGAGGAAUACCGGUGGCGAAGGCGACUUUCUGGACUUUUACUGACGCUCAGGUACGAAAGCGUGGGGAGCAAACAGG